RNAcentral lists this ribosomal RNA (437 nucleotides) under Staphylococcus sp. R-34181. RNAcentral's name for it is "bacterial SSU rRNA". It matches the Rfam family "Bacterial small subunit ribosomal RNA", at positions 19 to 445 of the family's 1533-position model. The record is from RNAcentral. Lineage: Bacteria; Bacillati; Bacillota; Bacilli; Caryophanales; Staphylococcaceae.
CUGGCUCAGGAUGAACGCUGGCGGCGUGCCUAAUACAUGCAAGUCGAGCGAACAGAUAAGGAGCUUGCUCCUUUGACGUUAGCGGCGGACGGGUGAGUAACACGUGGAUAACCUACCUAUAAGACUGGGAUAACUUCGGGAAACCGGAGCUAAUACCGGAUAACAUAUUGAACCGCAUGGUUCAAUAGUGAAAGGCGGCUUUGCUGUCACUUAUAGAUGGAUCCGCGCCGUAUUAGCUAGUUGGUAAGGUAACGGCUUACCAAGGCAACGAUACGUAGCCGACCUGAGAGGGUGAUCGGCCACACUGGAACUGAGACACGGUCCAGACUCCUACGGGAGGCAGCAGUAGGGAAUCUUCCGCAAUGGGCGAAAGCCUGACGGAGCAACGCCGCGUGAGUGAUGAAGGUCUUCGGAUCGUAAAACUCUGUUAUCAGGGA